RNAcentral lists this ribosomal RNA (649 nucleotides) under uncultured bacterium. Its description in RNAcentral is "bacterial SSU rRNA". It matches the Rfam family "Bacterial small subunit ribosomal RNA", at positions 745 to 1395 of the family's 1533-position model. The record is from RNAcentral.
ACUGAGGUGCGAAAGCGUGGGUAGCGAACAGGAUUAGAUACCCUGGUAGUCCACGCCGUAAACGAUGUCAACUAGCCGUUGGGGGGAUUUCCCUUUAGUGGCGCAGCUAACGCGAUAAGUUGACCGCCUGGGGAGUACGGCCGCAAGGCUAAAACUCAAAUGAAUUGACGGGGGCCCGCACAAGCGGUGGAGCAUGUGGUUUAAUUCGAUGCAACGCGAAGAACCUUACCAAGACUUGACAUCCUGCGAACUUUCUAGAGAUAGAUUGGUGCCUUCGGGAACGCAGUGACAGGUGCUGCAUGGCUGUCGUCAGCUCGUGUCAUGAGAUGUUGGGUUAAGUCCCGUAACGAGCGCAACCCUUGUCCUUAGUUGCCAUCAGUUCAGCUGGGAACUCUAAGGAGACUGCCGGUGACAGACCGGAGGAAGGUGGGGACGACGUCAAGUCAUCAUGGCCCUUACGUCUCGGGCUACACACGUGCUACAAUGGGAAGUACAAAGGGUUACCAAACCGUGAGGUGGAGUCAAUCCCAUAAAACUUCUCGUAGUCCGGAUUGAAGUCUGCAACUCGACUUCAUGAAGUCGGAAUCGCUAGUAAUCGCGAAUCAGAAUGUCGCGGUGAAUACGUUCCCGGGCCUUGUACACACCGCCC